AUACCGGAUGGUUCCCACGGGAAUAACGGGGGGCCCUUCGGGACUGCUGUCCAGGAGUGGACAUGUCCCAUCAGUUAGUUGGUGAGGUAAGAGCUCACCAAGGCAAUGACGGGUAGCUGGUCUGAGAGGAUGGUCAGCCACACUGGGACUGAGACACUGCCCAGACUUCUACGGGAGGCUGCAGUCGAGAAUCAUCCGCAAUGGGCGCAAGCCUGACGGUGCGACGCCGCGUGAAGGAUGAAGGCCUUCGGGUUGUAAACUUCUAACACGGGUUAAGAAACGCCUGGCAUUAAUAGUGUCGGGUUUGACGUAACCCCGAGAUGAAGCACUGGCUAACUCCGUGCCAGCAGCCGCGGUAAUACGGAGAGUGCAAGCGUUACUCGGAAUCACUGGGCUUAAAGGACACGUAGGCGGCCUCGUAAGUCAGUUGUGAAAGCUCUCGGAUCAACCGAGGAACUGCAGGUGAUACUGCGAAGCUAGAGGACGGUAGGGGAGAGCGGAACUCUUGGUGGAGCGGUGAAAUGCGUAGAUAUCAAGAGGAACACCGGUGGCGAAGGCGGAUCUCUGGUCCGUUACUGACGCUGAGGUGUGAAAGCCAGGGUAGCGAACGGGAUUAGAUACCCCGGU
Molecule: ribosomal RNA, 627 nt
Filed under: uncultured organism
Description: bacterial SSU rRNA
Rfam family: Bacterial small subunit ribosomal RNA
Source: RNAcentral